AGUGUUAACAGAUUGUAAGCAACUUAUGACUCUGGAAUUGGACCAAAGAAGGAGUUUUACUCAUUAUAUGGUCGCUGUUUUGAGAUCAAAGAGAACAAGUAUGUUUACAAAGUUUGUCCCUUUUAGGAUGUCAGUCAACUGGAGGGUCAUACCACAACUACUUUAGGGUAUGUGUUUUUUUAUUUUUUUAUUUAUGGAUUUUCACUGAAACUUGUGUAUUAAAUUUCUCAAAUGUUUUGAUGAGUCAUACAGAGUCAUGCUCUUCUCAAAUGGUGACAAAUGCUGAAAUGGACCUCAAAGAAGCUUACCUUGACCUACCUCAAUAUUUUAAUAGUUUUUAAUUAAUUACAAAAUUAAAAAAUUGCCCCUUUCAACAUAUCAUAUUUUCUCAACAGGUGAGAUUAACAUGUGGAUCAAAAGUUGAAGUUGCUGAUAUAGAUGAACCUACCCGUUGCGAGUAAGCCCCCC
Molecule: non-coding RNA, 468 nt
Organism: Lactuca sativa (garden lettuce)
Lineage: Eukaryota; Viridiplantae; Streptophyta; Magnoliopsida; Asterales; Asteraceae
Source: RefSeq, a predicted model, not a curated record